This 372-nucleotide ribosomal RNA is filed under the name Triticum aestivum (bread wheat). RNAcentral describes it as "partial small subunit ribosomal RNA". The record is from RNAcentral. Lineage: Eukaryota; Viridiplantae; Streptophyta; Magnoliopsida; Poales; Poaceae.
AUGGAAGGCUUGGUCGGCUUGAUCAUUCCACUCGAAGUGAGUGGACUUCUUCAUGAGUCGGUACAGGGGAGGGCCUUCUCUCCUGGUCGGCUGAUAAAACGGUUCAGGGAGGCUAAGCAGCCAGUGAACUUCUGCACAUCUCGCAGCUUGGUGGGAAUCUCCAUCCUCUCGAUGGCUUUGAUCUUGACAGGGUUGCACUCAAUGCCGCGUUCGGAGACCAGGAAGCCUAGCAGCUGGCUGGCUGGUACUCCGAACACGCACUUCUCGGGGUUGAGCUUGAUCUGGAAUCGGCGCAAGUUGGCAAACGUUUCCUUCAGGUCUUCCAGCAAGGUACCGCGCUUCUCUGUCUUCACCACAAUGUCGUCUACGUAG